RNAcentral lists this long non-coding RNA (1408 nucleotides) under Triticum aestivum (bread wheat). Its description in RNAcentral is "long non-coding RNA (TAES_LNC022726)". Lineage: Eukaryota; Viridiplantae; Streptophyta; Magnoliopsida; Poales; Poaceae. The record is from RNAcentral.
CUAUUUAGGCACACCAAAUUUGAAUGUUAAGAUAAAUAGCAUAAUAUAUUCAAAUAACAUACAUACUAUAGCGAGCUUUGAGCACACACUUAUAGAAGGUUUCUUACCAAACAAGAAUUAAGUAAAGGUGUUUGACUGAAGACUUUGCUGAAUAUGAACAAGAAGCAUGAAUCUGUACACAGCACCACCAUGAAGAGAAUAAAAUGUCAGGCAUAACUCACACAGCUAGUUCAACUUACAUAGUUACAUACCAUAGGCAUCUAUCAGGUCAUGGAAUCGUUUGUCAAGCAUAGUGUAUCCUUCUUUUUCUUGUUUGUUCAAAACAUCAGCGCGGAAAUAUUAGCUCUUGAGCCCUCACUUCAUCUAUCUUCUCACCUAAAAACACCUAAAAAGAUAUCGGACAAUCAGUAUUGCAUAUAUAAUGGUCUGUAGUAUAUUUAGGCAAAGGAAAAAUUAACAAGGCUGUAGAUGAUCUGUAGUAUUUUGGCGAAGAUUUUUUUUUGACAAAAGUGUUAAACUACAAUAUUUGUUUCGCAAGUGGACAGAAGGACAAAUAUUCCUUAAACUAAAAGACAACUACUUAGGACCCCAAUGCUCUAAACAUACUAAAUUAAAAAAAAAUCUAGUGGUUUUUGCCUUGCGACACUGAAAUAGUAUUCAACAUAAACAAAUUGGAACCAUUUUAUAGGGAAUAAAACUGCCGAGAGACUAUAUAAUGUACCGAAAUAUGAUUUGUCGCGUCGUCUCCGACUCCACUUUGAGCGAUCAUUCUCAUCUCCGGCCAUGGUGGGCCAGCCCACGAUGUGGUGCUUUUGGUUGACUAUUUGACGCAAUGAGCUUCGAGUAGAAUUUCCCCUGCCAUGUAUCUAAACUAAUUAAGAUAAAUGAAGAUAUACGUUUUUAAAUAAUGUUUACAACAAUUAUGCUGGUUCAUGUAGGUUUAAGAGUCUACUAUCAUGAAAGAAAAGAAUCACACAGUUUUCCCUGUGAUUCCAAUCAUAUAUAACUUGCACAACAUCAAAAUUUACUUGCAGAAGUUAAAAACUGAUAUAUGAACUCACAUGAUCAAGGAUAUGGAAGGCACAUGUUGAAGUCAUGAAAAAACUAUCUAAAGCAACAUUUCACUAAUUAUCACAUAUGUGACCACACAUCAGAAGGUUAUUACUAAUGCUACAUACAUUUCAUCAAUUAGCACUUCCAAAUAGAUCUCACACAACCACACAGGUAUGUAUUUUUUUGUAAAAGAGGUUAUUUCAGAUUGCGUUCAGUACACAAUAAUAUAUAGCGGACUGGGAAGUAAAUUACUUGAUACAACAAAGAGAAAAAGCUUAUCUCUCUUCCUUUAGUGUGUGACUCAAGAACUUCUCUACUUACAAAUAUAUUUAGCCAUGAUCAUGCUCCUCUAUAC